Molecule: long non-coding RNA, 1177 nt
Filed under: Salmo salar (Atlantic salmon)
Lineage: Eukaryota; Metazoa; Chordata; Actinopteri; Salmoniformes; Salmonidae
Description: lncRNA (ENSSSAG00000091399.1)
Source: RNAcentral
ACCCCCUUUGGCAGUUCUGUCUUGGAGGAAAAUGUAUACACAUACAUAAAGGCAUUUUUCAGCUAUGAUUUUACCACUCAGAAUCCAGAAUGGAUAUGACAAUGGGGCCAGCACAGGACCUAAUACACCCUUACAACAAUCUACUUUUUGAUCUUCUUGACUUCUUAUCUGGUAAACUGCUACUGUGUGUCAAGAAAAGAGCCCCAUUAGGGGUUAGUGUACUCCAGUAAAAAAGGGCUGGUUUAGAUUAGACACUAUUGCCCUGUGUCCCCGUUCAUAGGGGCAUGAGAGACUAGUCACUGGUAGAAUUGAGUUGGCACUUUAUUGGCCCAAACACCCACAGACCCACAAGGUUGAGGUUACUCAUGGACAGUAAUUAGUACAUUUUCUUUUUUGCAUUGACGCAUUGUGUCUUCUAACUGUCCAAGAAUAGGAUCCAAAGUGUUAGGAAAUAUUUGUUCCCAUAAAUACAAAGGAGGAUGUCUUUCCUCAUACCUCUGGCACUUUAGUCAGACUGCCAGACUGUGCAGCACAGAGCCAAUCAGGAGAGAAUACAUACAGGUCAACGGUGCCAAUUGAAAGUCAAGGGGUGUGUCUGUGCCUUUUGGAUUACUCUCUCUUUACAGAGAACCCCUGUGGUUCAAGUCAAGAGCUACCCUUCCCAUUUCAGUCUGCUCUGCGCAUGUCUGAAAGUGACAGAGCCAGCAGCCAAGAGAGUUUUUCCCAGGUCAACCAAAAACACUUGGCCUGAUGGUUCAUGCAGAUACUGGGGAAGCAAUAUAGAAAUGUAUUGAUCCCUUAAAUGAUUUUACUAUUAAAUGACCCAUAUCACAACGCUCAUACCUCUUCACAAAAUGUACCUAAAUCAAUUUUGGAAAAAGGAUUUUACUCACGAAAGACGUAGGAAUGUAUUUUUCAGUUAGAAAUAACUAUUUUCAUCAGAAAAACGAACCCUCAAAUGCACUAUUGCAUUUUGUAAGUUGUCUGCAGGUGGCUUGUUGUGAAUGCACUCAAAUAUCAAGUCAUUAUAAGGUUAUGGAAACUGUUCUAAUACUCAACGUAUAAGGAUUUGUCUUAAUGUACAGUAUAUGAAAGUGAUGCUAUGAAAAGGAUUCUUUCACCUUAUCAAGCUCACUGUGACUGACAAAUCACUGCCUAUUACUGUGAUUAAAAAGAG